This is a long non-coding RNA of Oncorhynchus tshawytscha (Chinook salmon), 1242 nucleotides long. NCBI's taxonomy places the organism in Eukaryota, Metazoa, Chordata, Actinopteri, Salmoniformes, Salmonidae. The record is from Ensembl.
UUUCGGUUACGGGCCCAACGCUUUAACCACUAGGCUACCUGCUGCCCCUAUGCAAUUUCAAGUAGGGCCGUAAAUGUUAUACAGUAGCGUCAUUUAAAUCUUAACUAAUUUAAAUAUGUAACACCUUAAAACCGCCAUCACAUGUUCGCAUCAUACGUCUUUGUUUACAAACCAUAAAAAGCUCAAGUAGAACGUGGCAGAACGAUACUGACAACUCAACUUUUCAUCUGUGUUGUAACUUAUAGCUAGCAAGCUACUUACCAUCAUGCCAGAAAAAACACACUGUGUUGUGACUGGAUGCCGUAGUGAUAAUUUAACAUUACACUAUUUCCUGAAGAAUGAGGACAUCCGUAAGCAGUGGCUGAUUUUCAUUUCGGGUGGACAGGAUCAUAACACCCGUGUGCAGUGCACAUUUAGAGCGAAGUUUGCUUUAUAAAUUGGGGAGAACAUUUGAUGUGUCUUGCCAGGAAGCUAAUCAUGAAGAUGGAUGCUGAACCAUCAUUGACAGUAGAUCAGUUUAUUUUGCAAGCACUGACCAUAAUACAGGCUCCUGGAUCUCCUCUUCAACAAGGUCACCCUUGAUCCAGUGCCGUAUGUGGGGAAGAUGUGCGAGCUGUCCAUCCCAGAACCCGUCUGCCCAGUGUGAGAGGCCUGACAAGGAGGAGGCCAUACCUGGAUUUGUCUCCAGCUUCAAUCUUUGGGUUGACUGAAGACAAGUGGGUGACUGAAGUCUGCUUGAUUGAAGCGGGGUACAUGGUCCCCCUCCUCUCCCGAUCCCGUCCCAUCAAUCUCUGUAGUUGGUUGCAUUUCCCAAAGUCUAAGUUAUUUAUAUGAUAUCACAUUUUCUUUUAUAUCAUUUUUUCUAACAUUUGGACGGGAGAUGAGAGUUACAAAUUGUAAGACUCAAUGGGGUCCUGCACACUGUAGGGCAGCAGGGUGCCUAUAUUGCGGCUUAUGGCUCUAUUUUAAUUUUUUUAUGACAAAUGAUGUCUCACCAUUAUUUCUCAUGAAUGUCCAUGUUGAUCAAUAUUUCAGAUAUGCUUGCCUAAUGUAAAUUAACAAAUAAAUGUUUGAUCAAUACAUACAAUUCUGAACAUAUUGUCAUUUAUAAUGCUAAUGCAGAGGCACCAAUCAAUUGUCCAGUACACUUAUUGUAUGCUGUUUUCAUGUACAUUCCCGUAUGUCUACGCUUCUAGGGGGACUCAGACUUGACUAAUUCUGCUGAAGAAGUGUAUCAGUGAA